This 757-nucleotide ribosomal RNA is filed under the name Micarea nowakii. Its description in RNAcentral is "SSU rRNA". It matches the Rfam family "Bacterial small subunit ribosomal RNA", at positions 380 to 1150 of the family's 1533-position model. The record is from RNAcentral. Lineage: Eukaryota; Fungi; Ascomycota; Lecanoromycetes; Lecanorales; Micareaceae.
AACUGGAAGAAUGUAUAGCGAUUGCUAAUUGUUUCAUUCUAGAAAGAUAAUGAAGCAAUCUCGAUUUGAUCGAAUAAAAUUCUGGGUAAAAUUAUGAUAAUGACAUUAUUUACUUAUGAGUCUUGACCAAAUUACGUGCCAGCAGUCGCGGUAAUACGUAGAAGACUAGUGUUAUUCAUCUUUAAUAGGUUUAAAGGGUACCUAGACGGCAGAUUAAGCCUUAGUUGGGACUGGUUUGCUAGAGUUACUUAUGAGGAAGUUUUAAUGUACUAGAGGUGAAGAGAUAAAAUUCUGUUAUACUUUUUUUCUAACGAAAAAUUUCGGCACAGGUAUAGGUGAAAACAUCUUCUUAUGGGAUAACUGACGUUGAGGGACGAAGGCUUUUUAUCGCGAACAGGAUUAGAUACCCUGGUAGUCAAAGCAGAAAAUGAUGAGUGUCAUAGAUUAGAUAAACGUUUAUUCUAUAAAUGAAAGUGUAAGCACUCCACCUCAAGAGUAAUUUGGCAACAUUGGAACUGAAAUCAUUAGACCGUAUCUGAAACCAGUAGUGAAGUAUGUUAUUUAAUUUGAUAAUCCGCAAAAAACCUUACCACAACUUGAAUGUUUAUUUAGUUACUUUUGUAACUAAAUAAACACAAGUGUUGCACGGCUGUCUUCAGUUAAUGUCGUCAGACUUUGGUUAGCUCCAGUAAAUUAACGUAAACCCUUGCUCUAGUUUUAAGUAGAGUAGUUCUCCGCUAUAUUGGAUAAGAUAACA